Molecule: unclassified non-coding RNA, 215 nt
Filed under: soil metagenome
Description: partial contains 5.8S ribosomal RNA, internal transcribed spacer 2, and large subunit ribosomal RNA
Source: RNAcentral
AACCUAGCACACCUGCGGUGUGUACCUGCGGAGGGAUCAUUACAUGAUUUAACAGGGAGUGGAGGCUUCGGCCAAAGCUCUGUCUGAACCCAUGUCUUUUGCGUACUUCUUGUUUCCUCGGUGGGCUUGCCCACCGAUAGGACAACCUUAAACUCUUUGCAAUUGCAAUCAGCGUCUGAAAAACUAUAAUAGUUACAACUUUUAGCAACGGAUCU